ACAUAUAAAUUACUAUUCUGUUAAUGUGUAUGUAUACAUUAUUGGUAAGAUAAACUAAUGAAAUAGAAGAAAACUUAAAAAGCAGUCAAUCAUUGAUUUCUCUCCAGAUUCUGUUUACUUAUUUAAACAUCUAAUUACUUUUCCAAAUAGAAACAGUCACUUAGAUACAAACUAGUCAAUGAGCAACAUGAAACAGGAAAUUUUUAGUACUUUUUAGACACUUAUUUUAUUUUACUUAAUGAUAAAUGAUUUCUGUAAGAAAUGCUUAGGAAGAGAAUAACAUUUAAAGAAUAGAUACAUUUUACAACAACAUAUUAUUAUCACUAUUGGAUAUUAGGUUUCUUUUGUCAUUAUAUUUAGCAGUUGGCCAACCUUUUCUUCCUCCUGUUAUCUCUGAAACUCAGCCAGAUUCUCUUCUUUGAUUCCUAUGCAGAGCUCAUUACCAGCCAAGUAAGAAAGGAUUCAAGUAAUGUUAGCCCUGAAAUUAGAUAAGUCUACUGUAGAAAUUUUUUGUGAGAUAGGAAGUCAUGGACAUCUGAAAUAAUAACUUCAAAAGGCUUAUAG
Molecule: long non-coding RNA, 564 nt
Filed under: Bos taurus (domestic cattle)
Lineage: Eukaryota; Metazoa; Chordata; Mammalia; Artiodactyla; Bovidae
Description: long non-coding RNA NONBTAT017145
Source: RNAcentral